RNAcentral lists this ribosomal RNA (526 nucleotides) under uncultured bacterium. RNAcentral describes it as "bacterial SSU rRNA". It matches the Rfam family "Bacterial small subunit ribosomal RNA", at positions 791 to 1317 of the family's 1533-position model. The record is from RNAcentral.
UAGUCCACGCCGUAAACGAUGGAUACUAGAUGUUGGGAGACUUGUCCUUCCAGUGUCGUAGCUAACGCGUUAAGUAUCCCGCCUGGGGAGUACGGCCGCAAGGUUAAAACUCAAAGAAAUUGACGGGGGCCCGCACAAGCGGUGGAGUAUGUGGUUUAAUUCGAUGCAACGCGAAGAACCUUACCUAGGCUUGACACCCCAUGCAAUCCGGUGAAAGUCGGAGUUCCUUCGGGACAUGGUGACAGGUGCUGCAUGGCUGUCGUCAGCUCGUGUCGUGAGAUGUUGGGUUAAGUCCCGCAACGAGCGCAACCCUUGCCGUUAGUUGCCAGCAUUAAGUUGGGCACUCUAACGGGACCGCUUGCCGAUAAGGCAGAGGAAGGUGGGGAUGACGUCAAGUCCGCAUGGCCCUUACGCCUAGGGCUACACACGUACUACCAAUGGCAGGUACAAAGCGCCGCAAGACCGCGAGGUUUAGCAAAUCGCAAAAAACCUGUACUCAGUUCGGAUUGGAGUCUGCAACUCGACU